UGGUGCGGUGACGCGUCUGGUUUAUUCCGAUAACGAGCGAGACGCCUGCUUCCCAAUAGUCGCCGGUGUCGUAAUUCUGUAGGAUGGGACAGGUGGUCUGGCUUUGGAGCUCGUCUCCUUUGUCUGUCCCCGAUGAUUCCCCGUCCGAGACGCCGUGCCGCUUCUGCGAAGGACGCUGUGGAGAUUCUCCAAAUCCUCACGAGGAGAGUGCGCAACAACA
Molecule: ribosomal RNA, 220 nt
Filed under: uncultured eukaryote
Lineage: Eukaryota
Description: partial 18S ribosomal RNA
Source: RNAcentral